CGUGGGUAACCUGCCCAAGAGAUCGGGAUAACACCUGGAAACAGAUGCUAAUACCGGAUAACAACAGAUGAUGCCUAUCAACUGUUUAAAAGAUGGUUCUGCUAUCACUCUUGGAUGGACCUGCGGUGCAUUAGCUAGUUGGUAGGGUAACGGCCUACCAAGGCGACGAUGCAUAGCCGAGUUGAGAGACUGAUCGGCCACAUUGGGACUGAGACACGGCCCAAACUCCUACGGGAGGCAGCAGUG
Molecule: ribosomal RNA, 246 nt
Filed under: uncultured Lactobacillus sp.
Lineage: Bacteria; Bacillati; Bacillota; Bacilli; Lactobacillales; Lactobacillaceae
Description: partial 16S ribosomal RNA
Rfam family: Bacterial small subunit ribosomal RNA
Source: RNAcentral